GACGAACGCUGGCGGCGUGCUUAACACAUGCAAGUCGAACGGAAAGGCCCUGCUUUUGUGGGGUGCUCGAGUGGCGAACGGGUGAGUAACACGUGAGUAACCUGCCCUUGACUUUGGGAUAACUUCAGGUAACUGGGGCUAAUACCGGAUAGGAGCUCCUGCUGCAUGGUGGGGGUUGGAAAGUUUCGGCGGUUGGGGAUGGACUCGCGGCUUAUCAGCUUGUUGGUGGGGUAGUGGCUUACCAAGGCUUUGACGGGUAGCCGGCCUGAGAGGGUGACCGGCCACAUUGGGACUGAGAUACGGCCCAGACUCCUACGGGAGGCAGCAGUGGGGAAUAUUGUACAGUGGGCGGAAGCGUGAUGCGGCAGCGCCGCGGGCGGGAUGACGGCCUUCGGGGUGUAAACCGCUUUCGCCUGUGACGAAGCGUGAGUGACGGUAAUGGGUAAAGAAGCACCGGCUAACUACGUG
Molecule: ribosomal RNA, 468 nt
Filed under: uncultured bacterium
Lineage: Bacteria
Description: partial 16S ribosomal RNA
Rfam family: Bacterial small subunit ribosomal RNA
Source: RNAcentral